GCGAGUCGAAUGUAGCAAUACAUGGCGUACUGCUCAGUAACACGUGGACAACCUACCCUCCGGACGGGUAUAAACCCGGGAAACUGGGUAUAAUCCCCGAUAGAUCUCGGUCGCUGGAAAGCCCCGAGAUCGAAAGCUCCGGCGCCAGAGGAUGGGUCUGCGGCCUAUCAGGUAGUAGUGGGUGUAGCGUACCUACUAGCCUACGACGGGUACGGGUUGUGAGAGCAAGAGCCCGGAGAUGGAUUCUGAGACACAAUCCAGGCCCUACGGGGUGCAGCAGGCGCGAAAACUUUACAAUGCCGGCAACGGCGAUAAGGGGACCUCGAGUGCCAGGUUACAAAUCUGGCUGUCGUGAUGCCUAAAAAGCAUUGCAUAGCAAGGGCCGGGCAAGACCGGUGCCAGCCGCCGCGGUAACACCGGCGGCUCGAGUGGUAACCGUUAUUAUUGGGUCUAAAGGGUCUGUAGCCGGCCAGAUAAGUCUCUUGAGAAAUCCAGCAGCUCAACUGUUGGGCUUUCAGGAGAUACUGUCUGGCUCGAGGCCGGGAGAGGUGAGAGGUACUUCAGGGGUAGGGGUGAAAUCUUGUAAUCCUUGAAGGACCACCAGUGGCGAAGGCGUCUCACCAGAACGGACCUGACGGCAAGGGACGAAAGCUAGGGGCACGAACCGGAUUAGAUACCCGGGUAGUCCUAGCCGUAAACGAUACUCGCUAGGUGUCGGCCACGGUGCGACCGUUGUCGGUGCCGUAGGGAAGCCGUGAAGCGAGCCACCUGGGAAGUACGGCCGCAAGGCUGAAACUUAAAGGAAUUGGCGGGGGAGCACCACAACGGGUGGAGC
This 835-nucleotide ribosomal RNA is filed under the name uncultured archaeon. Its description in RNAcentral is "bacterial SSU rRNA". It matches the Rfam family "Archaeal small subunit ribosomal RNA", at positions 53 to 894 of the family's 1478-position model. The record is from RNAcentral.